RNAcentral lists this ribosomal RNA (353 nucleotides) under Acinetobacter baumannii. Its description in RNAcentral is "bacterial SSU rRNA". It matches the Rfam family "Bacterial small subunit ribosomal RNA", at positions 1181 to 1533 of the family's 1533-position model. The record is from RNAcentral. Lineage: Bacteria; Pseudomonadati; Pseudomonadota; Gammaproteobacteria; Moraxellales; Moraxellaceae.
GACGUCAAGUCAUCAUGGCCCUUACGGCCAGGGCUACACACGUGCUACAAUGGUCGGUACAAAGGGUUGCUACACAGCGAUGUGAUGCUAAUCUCAAAAAGCCGAUCGUAGUCCGGAUUGGAGUCUGCAACUCGACUCCAUGAAGUCGGAAUCGCUAGUAAUCGCGGAUCAGAAUGCCGCGGUGAAUACGUUCCCGGGCCUUGUACACACCGCCCGUCACACCAUGGGAGUUUGUUGCACCAGAAGUAGCUAGCCUAACUGCAAAGAGGGCGGUUACCACGGUGUGGCCGAUGACUGGGGUGAAGUCGUAACAAGGUAGCCGUAGGGGAACCUGCGGCUGGAUCACCUCCUUA